GGCAGCCUUGGAUGACACGCGAGAAGUCCCGUAGGUUGAAGGUGUAAUGAGACUUCGCUGGAGUCGGAAGCAGAUUCGCCAUGGCUUUCUUAUACACCUUCAAGAAAGAAAAUGUAGAAGAACUCACUUCCAUCAUGGCUGUGACUAUCUGGUUGCCCACAAUGACAAACUCAGGUGCCGAAGGAAUCGGGAAGUUACAGCAUUCCUUCCACCACCAGGGGGACCCAUCGCUGCGAUGAACUGAACAUCCACAAGGCUGAUUUUGGAGGUGUCCUUCAGGUCGUACCUGUGGUGACAAAGCAUUCUCACCUCAACAAAAAGCUUUGUUUUUCUUCUCAUACUGACAUUGUCAGAAUACUUUUUAUUACAUCCUUGCAUGCGAUAUUUUCAGUUGGCCUUAGAAAACGG
Non-coding RNA from Oryzias latipes (Japanese medaka), 408 nucleotides. NCBI's taxonomy places the organism in Eukaryota, Metazoa, Chordata, Actinopteri, Beloniformes, Adrianichthyidae. The record is from RefSeq and is a predicted model, not a curated record.